This 810-nucleotide ribosomal RNA is filed under the name uncultured Actinomycetes bacterium. RNAcentral describes it as "bacterial SSU rRNA". It matches the Rfam family "Bacterial small subunit ribosomal RNA", at positions 71 to 894 of the family's 1533-position model. Lineage: Bacteria; Bacillati; Actinomycetota; Actinomycetes. The record is from RNAcentral.
GGCUCCAGCUUGCUGGGGUACACGAGUGGCGAACGGGUGAGGUAACACGUGGGUGACCUGCCCUGCACUUCGGGAUAAGCCUGGGAAACUGGGUCUAAUACCGGAUAGGACCGCACCGUGAGUGGUGUGGUGGAAAGUUUUUUCGGUGUGGGAUGGGCCCGCGGCCUAUCAGCUUGUUGGUGGGGUAAUGGCCUACCAAGGCGGCGACGGGUAGCCGGCCUGAGAGGGUGGACGGCCACAUUGGGACUGAGACACGGCCCAGACUCCUACGGGAGGCAGCAGUGGGGAAUAUUGCACAAUGGGCGGAAGCCUGAUGCAGCGACGCCGCUGGGGGAUGACGGCCUUCGGGUUGUAAACUCCUUUCACCGUCGACGAAGGGUUUCUGACGGUAGAUGGAGAAGAAGCGCCGGCUAACUACGUGCCAGCAGCCGCGGUAAUACGUAGGGUGCGAGCGUUGUCCGGAAUUACUGGGCGUAAAGAGCUCGUAGGUGGUUUGUCGCGUCGUCUGUGAAAUUCCGGGGCUUAACUCCGGGCGUGCAGGCGAUACGGGCAUAACUUGAGUACUGUAGGGGAGACUGGAAUUCCUGGUGUAGCCGGUGAAAUGCGCAGAUAUCAGGAGGAACACCGGUGGCGAAGGCGGGUCUCUGGGCAGUAACUGACGCUGAGGAGCGAAAGCAUGGGGAGCGAACAGGAUUAGAUACCCUGGUAGUCCAUGCUGUAAACGGUGGGCGCUAGGUGUGGGUUUCCUUCCACGGGAUCCGUGCCGUAGCUAACGCAUUAAGCGCCCCGCCUGGGAGUACGCCGCAAGGC